This 253-nucleotide ribosomal RNA is filed under the name uncultured bacterium. RNAcentral's name for it is "partial 16S ribosomal RNA". It matches the Rfam family "Bacterial small subunit ribosomal RNA", at positions 524 to 776 of the family's 1533-position model. The record is from RNAcentral.
UACAGAGGGGGCAAGCGUUAUUCGGAAUUAUUGGGCGUAAAGGGCGCGUAGGCGGCGAUUCAAGUGACGGGUGAAAUCCCUCGGCUUAACCGAGGAACUGCCUGUCAGACUGGAUUGCUUGAGUCCGGGAGAGGCGAGUGGAAUUCCCAGUGUAGCGGUGAAAUGCGUAGAUAUUGGGAGGAACACCAGUGGCGAAGGCGGCUCGCUGGACCGGAACUGACGCUGGUGCGCGAAAGCGUGGGUAGCAAACAGG